Molecule: transfer RNA, 88 nt
Filed under: Candidatus Sodalis pierantonii str. SOPE
Lineage: Bacteria; Pseudomonadati; Pseudomonadota; Gammaproteobacteria; Enterobacterales; Bruguierivoracaceae
Description: tRNA-Ser (TGA) (tRNA-Ser-TGA-1-1)
Rfam family: tRNA
About the family: Transfer RNA (tRNA) molecules are approximately 80 nucleotides in length.
Source: RNAcentral
GGAGGAGUGGCCGAGUGGUUGAAGGCACCGGUCUUGAAAACCGGCGAAGGGCAACCUUCCGUGGGUUCAAAUCCCACCUCCUCCGCCA